This 440-nucleotide ribosomal RNA is filed under the name uncultured bacterium. RNAcentral describes it as "bacterial SSU rRNA". It matches the Rfam family "Bacterial small subunit ribosomal RNA", at positions 338 to 795 of the family's 1533-position model. The record is from RNAcentral.
CCUACGGGGGGCUGCAGUGGGGAAUAUUGCACAAUGGGGGAAACCCUGAUGCAGCAACGCCGCGUGAGCGAUGAAGGCCUUCGGGUCGUAAAGCUCUGUCCUAAGGGAAGAAUACUGACGGUACCUUAGGAGGAAGCCCCGGCUAACUACGUGCAAGCAGCCGCGGUAAUACGUAGGGGGCUAGCGUUAUCCGGAAUGACUGGGCGUAAAGGGUGCGUAGGCGGGCCUUCAAGUCAGAGGGGAAAGGCUACGGCUCAACCGUAGUAAGCCUUUGAAACUGUAGGGCUUGAGUGCAGGAGAGGAGAGUGGAAUUCCCAGUGUAGCAGUGAAAGGCGUAGAGAUUGGGUGGAACCCCAGUUGCGAAGGCGGCUCGCUGGACUGUAACUGACGCUGGAGCACGAAAGCGUGGGGAGCGAGCAGGAUUAGAUACCCCUGUAGUC